UAGCUAGUUGGUGAGGUAACGGCCCACCAAGGCGACGAUCGGUAGCCGGACUGAGAGGUUGAACGGCCACAUUGGGACUAAGACACGGCCCAGACUCCUACGGGAGGCAGCAGUGGGGAAUAUUGCACAAUGGGGGAAACCCUGAUGCAGCGACGCCGCGUGGAGGAAGAAGGUCUUCGGAUUGUAAACUCCUGUUGUUGAGGAAGAUAAUGACGGUACUCAACAAGGAAGUGACGGCUAACUACGUGCCAGCAGCCGCGGUAAAACGUAGGUCACAAGCGUUGUCCGGAAUUACUGGGUGUAAAGGGAGCGCAGGCGGGAAGACAAGUUGGAAGUGAAAUCCAUGGGCUCAACCCAUGAACUGCUUUCAAAACUGUUUUUCUUGAGUAGUGCAGAGGUAGGCGGAAUUCCCGGUGUAGCGGUGGAAUGCGUAGAUAUCGGGAGGAACACCAGUGGCGAAGGCGGCCUACUGGGCACCAACUGACGCUGAGGCUCGAAAGUGUGGGUAGCAAACAGGAUUAGAUACCCUGGUAGUCCACACUGUAAACGAUGAUUACUAGGUGUUGGAGGAUUGACCCCUUCAGUGCCGCAGUUAACACAAUAAGUAAUCCACCUGGGGAGUACGACCGCAAGGUUGAAACUCAAAGGAAUUGACGGGGGCCCGCACAAGCAGUGGAGUAUGUGGUUUAAUUCGACGCAACGCGAAGAACCUUACCAAGUCUUGACAUCCUGCGACGGUUCUGGAAACAGAACUUUCCUUCGGGACGCAGAGACAGGUGGUGCAUGGUUGUCGUCAGCUCGUGUCGUGAGAUGUUGGGUUAAGUCCCGCAACGAGCGCAACCCUUAUGGUCAGUUACUACGCAAGAGGACUCUGGCCAGACUGCCGUUGACAAAACGGAGGAAGGUGGGGAUGACGUCAAAUCAUCAUGCCCUUUAUGACUUGGGCUACACACGUACUACAAUGGCGUUAAACAAAGAGAAGCAAGACCGCGAGGUGGAGCAAAACUCAGAAACAACGUCCCAGUUCGGACUGCAGGCUGCAACUCGCCUGCACGAAGUCGGAAUUGCUAGUAAUCGCAGAUCAGCAUGCUGCGGUGAAUACGUUCCCGGGCCUUGUACACACCGCCCGUCACACCAUGAGAGCCGGGGGGACCCGAAGUCGGUAGUCUAACCGCAAGGAGGACGCCGCCGAAGGUAAAACUGGUGAUUGGGGAGAAGUCGUAACAAGGUAA
Molecule: ribosomal RNA, 1232 nt
Filed under: metagenome
Description: bacterial SSU rRNA
Rfam family: Bacterial small subunit ribosomal RNA
Source: RNAcentral